GAUGAACGCUGGCGGCGUGCCUAAUACAUGCAAGUCGAGCGAACAGACGAGGAGCUUGCUCCUCUGACGUUAGCGGCGGACGGGUGAGUAACACGUGGAUAACCUACCUAUAAGACUGGGAUAACUUCGGGAAACCGGAGCUAAUACCGGAUAAUAUAUUGAACCGCAUGGUUCAAUAGUGAAAGACGGUUUUGCUGUCACUUAUAGAUGGAUCCGCGCCGCAUUAGCUAGUUGGUAAGGUAACGGCUUACCAAGGCAACGAUGCGUAGCCGACCUGAGAGGGUGAUCGGCCACACUGGAACUAAGACACGGUCCAGACUCCUACGGGAGGCAGCAGUAGGGAAUCUUCCGCAAUGGGCGAAAGCCUGACGGAGCAACGCCGCGUGAGUGAUGAAGGUCUUCGGAUCGUAAAACUCUGUUAUUAGGGAAGAACAAAUGUGUAAGUACCUAUGCACGUCUUGACGGUACCUAAUCAGAAAGCCACGGCUAACUACGUG
RNAcentral lists this ribosomal RNA (497 nucleotides) under uncultured bacterium. RNAcentral describes it as "partial 16S ribosomal RNA". It matches the Rfam family "Bacterial small subunit ribosomal RNA", at positions 28 to 507 of the family's 1533-position model. The record is from RNAcentral.